This 1356-nucleotide ribosomal RNA is filed under the name Triticum aestivum (bread wheat). RNAcentral describes it as "partial small subunit ribosomal RNA". The record is from RNAcentral. Lineage: Eukaryota; Viridiplantae; Streptophyta; Magnoliopsida; Poales; Poaceae.
AUGCGGGCGGGCGUCUCGCGCGGUGCGUGCGUUGUGUGCGGCGCAAGUCGGGCGCGUGGGCGGGAGGUGGUUCGGCUCGGGAGGCGCCGGGCAGGGAAGCUCGGGAGGCGGGCUCGUCAGACGGGCGUGACGCGAGGAGGAAGCCGGGGUGGCGGCCCCGUGCUGGAAGCCAUGGCAUUUUGGCCAUGGUGUCGUGUGCGCCGAGGGUGGUGCGCGGUGAAGCUUGGUGGUCGGCGUUGGAGAGUGCAAGGCGCAACAGGAACGGCUCCAAUGAUCUCCACGCUUCUGGGUGGAUCGGAUCUGCGGGCCUCCAUAGGGAUGUGUGUGUUCCGGGCAAAAGCCUUGACCCGACUUUGUCGGUGCCGUCGACGGCGGCACUUUCGGGCGUCGUUUCCCUCCUUGGAGGCGUCAUUGUGGAACUCAUCUUCUUCUAUGUGGGGCUCGGGCUCUCCGGGUGAAAACCUAAGCUCCAGAUUUUUCGGAGCGGGCGACGGCGGCGUCUUCGUCGUUUCCCUCUUGGGGGUGUUGCUUGGGAGAGUUAGCUUGUGCUUGGUGCGUUUGGUUUUCUCCUACGUCGGGUUUGGUGGAUGCCGAGGCAGCGGCCCCGGACGGCUGAUGAACGCCGAGGCGGCGGCCUCGGGAAGUGAUGCGCGGUGCGGCUCCAUGGGGCGGGGCGGUGGCUCGGCCUUCACUUGGGUGGCAAUCUUGGGCCACUUGGGUGGCAGGCUUGUCGGUCCGGUCGACGCGUUCCAGAGGGGGCGAUCUGACUUUGCGUCGGGGCGGCGGCCCCGGAUGUGGUGCAACGUUCGUGGUCUGCGAGCGGUUGCCCUGAGCAGCGUGGGCUGCGGGAAGCUGGGUCGCGCGGCGUUGCUGCUCGAGCGGAGCGGUGGUACGUCGGGGCGGCGGCCCCGGAAGGUGGUGCCGGUUGAUUGCGCUGGGCGCGACGGAGCGGUGGAUGUCGGGGCGGCGGCCCCGAGAAAAUCACUGUGGCGUCCAGACUUCUGUGGCAACGAUGAUGGUGGGAGCGAUGUCGGUGACGCGGCAAUGGUUGCGAUAGUCGGCUCUUCUUCCGCGUGUCCACGAUAUUGCCUCGUUUUGUUUGUUGCUGUGGAGUCGAAGCUGCGGCGGCGAGGCCCUGUGGUAUACGAUGACUGGUUCCAGGUGUCCUUUCGGCGAUCUUCCGUGGUGCCAGCCGUGCCUAGUUUCAUUUUUCUGAGUUCUCCGUCAGAAUCGGAGCUGCGUUGUCUGUCCGCAGAUCGACAUGUCGUCGAGAAGGGUGGGCUUUGCCCUGUGUGUUUCAGUCUAUGCGAGUGGGAUCAGCCCUUGUUGUUCCGGUUUUUGCCCGGUUUUCCGUAA